AUGGAAACAGCAGUUCCCGUACGAUCACCGAAAUUAAACAACGUCAACCCUGGUCAGUACUUAGAUAGGUGACCGCUUGAGAAUACCAAGUGCUGCAAG
This is a non-coding RNA of Acanthosepion pharaonis, 99 nucleotides long. The record is from the annotation of a GenBank genome assembly. Lineage: Eukaryota; Metazoa; Mollusca; Cephalopoda; Sepiida; Sepiidae.